Molecule: ribosomal RNA, 371 nt
Filed under: Crustomastix sp.
Lineage: Eukaryota; Viridiplantae; Chlorophyta; Mamiellophyceae; Dolichomastigales; Crustomastigaceae
Description: partial small subunit ribosomal RNA
Rfam family: Eukaryotic small subunit ribosomal RNA
Source: RNAcentral
AUUCCAGCUCCAAUAGCGAAUACUAAUUCUGCUGCAGUUAAAAAGCUCGUAGUUGAACUUCUGGUAGGACAGAUCCGGCCUUUGGAUGAAUGUCCAUUGUAUGCUGUGUGUCUUGUCUGGCCAUCCUUUAUGUCUUUUAGGCGUAAUCUUUCACUGUAAAAAAAUUAGGGUGUUCAAAGCGGGCUUACGCUUGAAUAUAUUAGCAUGGAAUAACACGAUAGGACUCCUGUCCUAUUCUGUUGGUCUUCGGGAUGGGAGUAAUGAUUAAGAGGAACAGUUGGGGGCAUUCGUAUUUCAUUGUCAGAGGUGAAAUUCUUGGAUUUAUGAAAGACGAACUUCUGCGAAAGCAUUUGCCAAGGAUGUUUUCAUCG